GAUGAACGCUAGCGGCAGGCCUAACACAUGCAAGUCGAGGGGUAGAACACUUCGGUGUUUGAGACCGGCGCACGGGUGCGUAACGCGUAUGCAAUCUACCUUGUACAGGGGAAUAGCCCAGAGAAAUUUGGAUUAAUGCCCCAUAGUAUAUAACCUUCGCAUGUUGGUUAUAUUAAAGUUCCAACGGUACAAGAUGAGCAUGCGUCCCAUUAGUUAGUUGGUAAGGUAACGGCUUACCAAGACGAUGAUGGGUAGGGGUCCUGAGAGGGAGAUCCCCCACACUGGUACUGAGACACGGACCAGACUCCUACGGGAGGCAGCAGCGAGGAAUAUUGGUCAAUGGUCGGCAAGACUGAACCAGCCAUGCCGCUGCAGGAAGACGGUCCUAUGGAUUGUAAACUGCUUUUUAUACAGGAAGAAACCCCUCCCACGUGUGGGAGCUUGACGGUACUGUAGGAAUAAGGAUCGGCUAACUCCGUGCCAGCAGCCGCGGUAAUAGUC
This 501-nucleotide ribosomal RNA is filed under the name uncultured bacterium. Its description in RNAcentral is "bacterial SSU rRNA". It matches the Rfam family "Bacterial small subunit ribosomal RNA", at positions 28 to 526 of the family's 1533-position model. The record is from RNAcentral.